AUACGGAGGGGGCAAACGUUGUUCGGAAUUACUGGGCGUAAAGGGCGCGUAGGCGGAUUAUCAAGUCAGAGGUGAAAGCCCUGGGCUCAACCUAGGAACUGCCUUUGAAACUGAUAGUCUUGAGUCCGAGAGAGGAUGGCGGAAUUCCCAGUGUAGAGGUGAAAUUCGUAGAUAUUGGGAAGAACACCAGUGGCGAAGGCGGCCAUCUGGCUCGGUACUGACGCUGAGGCGCGAAAGCGUGGGGAGCAAACAGGAUUAGAAACCCCAGUAGUCC
Molecule: ribosomal RNA, 274 nt
Filed under: uncultured bacterium
Lineage: Bacteria
Description: partial 16S ribosomal RNA
Rfam family: Bacterial small subunit ribosomal RNA
Source: RNAcentral